UUAGCAUUUUUGUUGAAUACUUUUACACUGCAAAUAUUUAACCUAAUGCGUAUACAACAUUUUGCUGAACCAUAAAAUUAAGUGAGUUUAAUUGAAAUUGCCAAAUCGUGUUGAGCAAGGACAGCGUACGUGGAGUCAGAUGUAUUGAAGAUUUGUGAUCAUGUGGUCAACAACACUCCUGCUCUAAAAUUUAGAGUCUAAAUACAGUGUAAUGUUAACUUUACUGAAAAUAUAGUGGAAGAUGUCGCAGGUAAAAUUCACUCUUGUAAUUGUAAUUAUUUCUGCGAGUAGUGCUCUUCUCAGGUCACAAUCAUCCGACACGUCCGGAGAAUCAGUGUGUCUUUGCAGGUCGUCUAAUCCAUGUCCACCGAGUCCAAUAUUUUCGUUUAUGAAACAAGAAUGUGUAUCGAUGGAGUUCAUGAGGAUGAGCUUAUCGGACGAUGUGCCGGUAAUUAGCUGUCCUCCGGGCCAACGCUAUUCCCGUUUUGUUAAGGAAUGUGUCGCAGUGAUACAGCCGGGAGAAAUAGUCAAAGGUUCAAGUGUUGGUUAAGUGAAUACUCAUCAAAACAAAAGUAAAUUUUUCUUUGCUAAAAUAAAUAAAAAUUGUUACAUA
Folsomia candida is the source of this 613-nucleotide long non-coding RNA. RefSeq lists it as uncharacterized. The transcript has 3 exons. Lineage: Eukaryota; Metazoa; Arthropoda; Collembola; Entomobryomorpha; Isotomidae. The record is from RefSeq and is a predicted model, not a curated record.